This 1092-nucleotide non-coding RNA is filed under the name Prosthecodimorpha hirschii. RNAcentral's name for it is "Prosthecomicrobium hirschii Bacterial large subunit ribosomal RNA". It matches the Rfam family "Bacterial large subunit ribosomal RNA", at positions 304 to 1307 of the family's 2925-position model. The record is from Rfam by way of RNAcentral. Lineage: Bacteria; Pseudomonadati; Pseudomonadota; Alphaproteobacteria; Hyphomicrobiales; Ancalomicrobiaceae.
GGGUAGCCGUGUGGCGCCCUGGAGGUAUCGGAAGUGCGAAUGCUGACAUGAGUAACGAUAAAGGGUGUGAGAGACACCCUCGCCGAAAGUCCAAGGGUUCCUGCGUAAAGUUAAUCUGCNNNNNNNNNNNNNNNNNNNNCUGGCGUUAUGGGUGAUAGCCCCGUACGGGACGGCGAAGGUUGAGGACAUGAGUAGGGCGGGACACGUGAAAUCCUGUCUGAAAUUGGGGGACCACCCUCCAAGCCUAAGUACUCCUCAGCGACCGAUAGCGAACAAGUACCGUGAGGGAAAGGUGAAAAGCACCCCGACAAGGGGAGUGAAACAGUUCCUGAAACCGGAUGCCUACAAAACAGUGGGAGCCCAAGGUUCGUCCUGGGUGACCGCGUACCUUUUGUAUAAUGGGUCAGCGAGUUAGUCUGGCGAGCGAGCUUAAGCCGGUAGGUGUAGGCGCAGCGAAAGCGAGUCUGAACAGGGCGUUCAGUUCGUCGGAUUAGACCCGAAACCGGGUGAUCUAGCCAUGGCCAGGCUGAAGGUGCGGUAACACGCACUGGAGGGCCGAACCGGUGCCUGUUGAAAAAGUCUCGGAUGAGCCGUGGCUAGGGGUGAAAGGCCAACCAAACCCGGAGAUAGCUGGUUCUCCGCGAAAGCUAUUUAGGUAGCGCCUCGAGUGAAUACUCCAGGGGGUAGAGCACUGGAUGGGCUAGGGGGUCCCACAGACCUACCAAACCCAACCAAACUCCGAAUACCUGGAAGUACUGCUCGGGAGACACACGGCGGGUGCUAACGUCCGUCGUGAAGAGGGCAACAACCCUGACCGCCAGCUAAGGCCCCUAAUUCGUGGCUAAGUGGGAAAGGAUGUGGGGAUCCCAAAACAACCAGGAUGUUGGCUUAGAAGCAGCCAUCAUUUAAAGAAAGCGUAACAGCUCACUGGUCUAGACAAGGGUUCCUGCGCCGAAGAUGUACCGGGGCUCAAGCCACGAGCCGAAGCUGCGGGUGUGCGAAAGCACACGGUAGCGGAGCGCUCCGUAAGCCAGUGAAGGGGUAGCCGUGAGGCGCCCUGGANNNNNNNNNNNNNNNNNNNNNNNNNNNNNN